RNAcentral lists this ribosomal RNA (454 nucleotides) under uncultured bacterium. Its description in RNAcentral is "partial 16S ribosomal RNA". It matches the Rfam family "Bacterial small subunit ribosomal RNA", at positions 28 to 507 of the family's 1533-position model. The record is from RNAcentral.
GAUGAACGCUGACAGAAUGCUUAACACAUGCAAGUCAACUUGAACUUCGGUUUGGGUGGCGGACGGGUGAGUCACGCGUAAAGAACUUGCCUCACAGCUAGGGACAACAUUUGGAAACGAAUGCUAAUACCUGAUAUUAUGAUUUUAGGGCAUCCUAGAAUUAUGAAAGCUAUAUGCGCUGUGAGAGAGCUUUGCGUCCCAUUAGCUAGUUGGAGAGGUAACGGCUCACCAAGGCGAUGAUGGGUAGCCGGCCUGAGAGGGUGAACGGCCACAAGGGGACUGAGACACGGCCCUUACUCAUACGGGAGGCAGCAGUGGGGAAUAUUGGACAAUGGACCAAGAGUCUGAUCCAGCAAUUCGGUGUGCACGAUGAAGUUUUUCGGAAUGUAAAGUGCUUUCAGUUGGGAAGAAAAAAAUGACGGUACCAACAGAAGAAGUGACGGCUAAAUACGUG